CAAUAGCGUAUAUUAAAGUUGUUGCAGUUAAAAAGCUCGUAGUUGGAUUUGUGGUUCGUCCCGCCGGCUGGGUCAUUGACUUUUGCUGUGCUGGUCGUCCAUCCUUGGGUGGAAUCUGUGUGGCAUUAGGUUGUCGCGCAGGGGAUGCCCAUCGUUUACUGUGAAAAAAUUAGAGUGUUCAAAGCAGGCUUAUGCCGUUGAAUAUAUUAGCAUGGAAUAAUGAUAUAGGACCUUGGUACUAUUUUGUUGGUUUGCGCACUGAGGUAAUGAUUAAUAGGGACAGUUGGGGGUAUUCGUAUUCCAUCGUAAGAGGUGAAAUUCUUGGAUUUUUGGAAGACGAACUACUGCGAAAGCAUUUACCAAGGAUGUUUUCAUUAA
Molecule: ribosomal RNA, 378 nt
Filed under: uncultured eukaryote
Lineage: Eukaryota
Description: partial 18S ribosomal RNA
Rfam family: Eukaryotic small subunit ribosomal RNA
Source: RNAcentral